RNAcentral lists this ribosomal RNA (788 nucleotides) under Alteromonas sp. Its description in RNAcentral is "bacterial SSU rRNA". It matches the Rfam family "Bacterial small subunit ribosomal RNA", at positions 67 to 853 of the family's 1533-position model. Lineage: Bacteria; Pseudomonadati; Pseudomonadota; Gammaproteobacteria; Alteromonadales; Alteromonadaceae. The record is from RNAcentral.
CGGAACAUGUCUAGCUUGCUAGAUGAUGUCGAGUGGCGGACGGGUGAGUAAUGCUUGGGAACUUGCCUUUGCGAGGGGGAUAACAGUUGGAAACGACUGCUAAUACCGCAUAAUGUCUUCGGACCAAACGGGGCUUCGGCUCCGGCGCAAAGAGAGGCCCAAGUGAGAUUAGCUAGUUGGUGAGGUAAAGGCUCACCAAGGCAACGAUCUCUAGCUGUUCUGAGAGGAAGAUCAGCCACACUGGGACUGAGACACGGCCCAGACUCCUACGGGAGGCAGCAGUGGGGAAUAUUGCACAAUGGGGGAAACCCUGAUGCAGCCAUGCCGCGUGUGUGAAGAAGGCCUUCGGGUUGUAAAGCACUUUCAGUUGUGAGGAAAAGUUAGUAGUUAAUACCUGCUAGCCGUGACGUUAACAACAGAAGAAGCACCGGCUAACUCCGUGCCAGCAGCCGCGGUAAUACGGAGGGUGCGAGCGUUAAUCGGAAUUACUGGGCGUAAAGCGCACGCAGGCGGUUUGUUAAGCUAGAUGUGAAAGCCCCGGGCUCAACCUGGGACGGUCAUUUAGAACUGGCAGACUAGAGUCUUGGAGAGGGGAGUGGAAUUCCAGGUGUAGCGGUGAAAUGCGUAGAUAUCUGGAGGAACAUCAGUGGCGAAGGCGACUCCCUGGCCAAAGACUGACGCUCAUGUGCGAAAGUGUGGGUAGCGAACAGGAUUAGAUACCCUGGUAGUCCACACCGUAAACGCUGUCUACUAGCUGUUUGUGACUUUAAGUCGUGAGUAGCGAAGCU